RNAcentral lists this ribosomal RNA (652 nucleotides) under uncultured bacterium. RNAcentral describes it as "bacterial SSU rRNA". It matches the Rfam family "Bacterial small subunit ribosomal RNA", at positions 141 to 808 of the family's 1533-position model. The record is from RNAcentral.
GGAUAACAGUUGGAAAUGACUGCUAAAACCGCAUAACAUGGCGAUACCGCAUGAUAUUGCCAUCAAAUAUUUAUAGGUAUGAGAUGGGCCCGCGUCUGAUUAGCCAGUUGGCAGGGUAAUGGCCUACCAAAGCGACGAUCAGUAGCCGGCUUGAGAGAGUGACCGGCCACAUUGGGACUGAGACACGGCCCAAACUCCUACGGGAGGCAGCAGUGGGGGAUAUUGCACAAUGGGGGAAACCCUGAUGCAGCGACGCCGCGUGAGUGAAGAAGUAUUUCGGUAUGUAAAGCUCUAUCAGCAGGGAAGAAAACAAUGACAGUACCUGACUAAGAAGCCCCGGCUAACUACGUGCCAGCAGCCGCGGUAAUACGUAGGGGGCAAGCGUUAUCCGGAUUUACUGGGUGUAAAGGGAGCGUAGGCGGUGCGGCAAGUCAGAAGUGAAAGCCCGGGGCUCAACUCCGGGACUGCUUUUGAAACUGUCGGACUGGAGUGUCGGAGAGGUAAGUGGAAUUCCUAGUGUAGCGGUGAAAUGCGUAGAUAUUAGGAGGAACACCAGUGGCGAAGGCGGCUUACUGGACGAUCACUGACGCUGAGGCUCGAAAGCGUGGGGAGCAAACAGGAUUAGAUACCCUGGUAGUCCACGCCGUAAACG